This 445-nucleotide ribosomal RNA is filed under the name Fusarium sp. B1A0951EM2CC606. RNAcentral describes it as "eukaryotic LSU rRNA". The stretch from base 137 to 290 matches the Rfam family "5.8S ribosomal RNA". The record is from RNAcentral. Lineage: Eukaryota; Fungi; Ascomycota; Sordariomycetes; Hypocreales; Nectriaceae.
CUCCCAAACCCCUGUGAACAUACCAAUUGUUGCCUCGGCGGAUCAGCCCGCUCCCGGUAAAACGGGACGGCCCGCCAGAGGACCCCUAAACUCUGUUUCUAUAUGUAACUUCUGAGUAAAACCAUAAAUAAAUCAAAACUUUCAACAACGGAUCUCUUGGUUCUGGCAUCGAUGAAGAACGCAGCAAAAUGCGAUAAGUAAUGUGAAUUGCAGAAUUCAGUGAAUCAUCGAAUCUUUGAACGCACAUUGCGCCCGCCAGUAUUCUGGCGGGCAUGCCUGUUCGAGCGUCAUUUCAACCCUCAAGCCCUCGGGUUUGGUGUUGGGGAUCGGCGAGCCCUUGCGGCAAGCCGGCCCCGAAAUCUAGUGGCGGUCUCGCUGCAGCUUCCAUUGCGUAGUAGUAAAACCCUCGCAACUGGUACGCGGCGCGGCCAAGCCGUAAACCCCC